GUGCAUCUUCUUGUUUUUAAGACCUAGCAAUAGGUAUGCUUAGGGAGGAGCUUGCGUCACAUUAGUUAGUUGGUGGGGUAAAGGCCUACCAAGACUAUGAUGUGUAGCCGGGCUGAGAGGUUGAACGGCCACAUUGGGACUGAGACACGGCCCAAACUCCUACGGGAGGCAGCAGUAGGGAAUUUUCGGCAAUGGAGGAAACUCUGACCGAGCAACGCCGCGUGAACGAUGAAGUAUUUCGGUACGUAAAGUUCUUUUAUUAGGGAAGAAUAAAUGAUGGAAAAAUCAUUCUGACGGUACCUAAUGAAUAAGCCCCGGCUAACUAUGUGCCAGCAGCCGCGGUAAUACAUAGGGGGCAAGCGUUAUCCGGAAUUAUUGGGCGUAAAGGGUGCGUAGGCGGUUAAAUAAGUUUAUGGUCUAAGUGCAAUGCUCAACAUUGUGAUGCUAUAAAAACUGUUUAGCUAGAGUAAGAUAGAGGCAAGUGGAAUUCCAUGUGUAGUGGUAAAAUGCGUAAAUAUAUGGAGGAACACCAGUAGCGAAGGCGGCUUGCUGGGUCUUUACUGACGCUGAGGCACGAAAGCGUGGGGAGCAAACAGGAUUAGAUACCCUGGUAGUCCACGCCGUAAACGAUGAGUACUAAACGUUGGGUAAAACCAGUGUUGAAGUUAACACAUUAAGUACUCCGCCUGAGUAGUACGUACGCAAGUAUGAAACUUAAAGGAAUUGACGGGACUCCGCACAAGCGGUGGAUCAUGUUGUUUAAUUCGAAGGUACCCGAAAAACCUCACCAGGUCUUGACAUGCUUCUGCAAAGCUGUAGAAACACAGUGGAGGUUAUCAGUUGCACAGGUGGUGCAUGGUUGUCGUCAGCUCGUGUCGUGAGAUGUUGGGUUAAGUCCCGCAACGAGCGCAACCCUUAUUGUUAGUUACCAGCACGUAAUGGUGGGGACUUUAGCAAGACUGCCAGUGAUGAAUUGGAGGAAGGUGGGGACGACGUCAAAUCAUCAUGCCCCUUAUGACCUGGGCUACAAACGUGAUACAAUGGCUGUUACAAAGUAGCUGA
RNAcentral lists this ribosomal RNA (1062 nucleotides) under 'Eugenia neomyrtifolia' phytoplasma. Its description in RNAcentral is "bacterial SSU rRNA". It matches the Rfam family "Bacterial small subunit ribosomal RNA", at positions 169 to 1253 of the family's 1533-position model. The record is from RNAcentral. Lineage: Bacteria; Bacillati; Mycoplasmatota; Mollicutes; Acholeplasmatales; Acholeplasmataceae.